Molecule: ribosomal RNA, 253 nt
Filed under: uncultured cyanobacterium
Lineage: Bacteria; Bacillati; Cyanobacteriota
Description: partial 16S ribosomal RNA
Rfam family: Bacterial small subunit ribosomal RNA
Source: RNAcentral
UACGGGGGGUGCAAGCGUUGUCCGGAAUCAUUGGGCGUAAAGCGUUCGUAGGCGGUAUGUCAAGUCUGAUGUUAAAGCCCGGGGCUCAACUCCGGUUCGGCAUUGGAUACUGGCAAACUAGAAUGUGGUAGAGGUAAAGGGAAUUCCUGGUGUAGCGGUGAAAUGCGUAGAUAUUAGGAGGAACACCAGUGGCGAAGGCGGCUUUCUGGACUGUAACUGACACUGAGGUACGAAAGCGUGGGGAGCAAACAGG